Molecule: ribosomal RNA, 447 nt
Filed under: uncultured bacterium
Lineage: Bacteria
Description: partial 16S ribosomal RNA
Rfam family: Bacterial small subunit ribosomal RNA
Source: RNAcentral
AGCGAACGCUGGCGGCAGGCUUAACACAUGCAAGUCGAACGGUCCUUCGGGAUAGUGGCGGACGGGUGAGUAACACGUGGGAACGUACCCUUAGGUUCGGAACAACACAGGGAAACUUGUGCUAAUACCGGAUAAGCCCUUCGGGGGAAAGAUUUAUAGCCUUUGGAGCGGCCCGCGUCUGAUUAGCUUGUUGGUGAGGUAAUGGCUCACCAAGGCUACGAUCAGUAGCUGGUCUGAGAGGAUGGCCAGCCACACUGGGACUGAGACACGGCCCAGACUCCUACGGGAGGCAGCAGUGGGGAAUCUUGCGCAAUGGGCGAAAGCCUGACGCAGCCAUGCCGAGUGGAUGAUGAAGGUCUUAGGAUUGUAAAAUCCUUUCACCGGGGACGAUAAUGACGGUACCCGGAGAGGAAGCCCCGGCUAACUUCGUGCCAGCCGCCGCAGUAA